Molecule: small RNA, 78 nt
Filed under: Flavobacterium araucananum
Lineage: Bacteria; Pseudomonadati; Bacteroidota; Flavobacteriia; Flavobacteriales; Flavobacteriaceae
Description: Flavo-1 RNA
Rfam family: Flavo-1 RNA
Source: RNAcentral
CCCUAGCCCCGAUAGCAGUGAAAAUCCUUUUGUGCCGGUGUUCGGCACAAAAGAUUGGAACGUAUAGCGGGAAGAGCU